RNAcentral lists this ribosomal RNA (468 nucleotides) under uncultured bacterium. RNAcentral's name for it is "partial 16S ribosomal RNA". It matches the Rfam family "Bacterial small subunit ribosomal RNA", at positions 28 to 507 of the family's 1533-position model. The record is from RNAcentral.
GAUGAACGCUGGCGGCGUGCUUAACACAUGCAAGUCGAACGGUGAAGGCGGAGCUUGCUCUGCUGGAUCAGUGGCGAACGGGUGAGUAACACGUGAGCAAUCUGCCCCUGACUCUGGGAUAAGCACUGGAAACGGCGUCUAAUACUGGAUACGAGCUGCGAAGGCAUCUUCAGCAGCUGGAAAGAACUUCGGUCAGGGAUGAGCUCGCGGCCUAUCAGCUUGUUGGUGAGGUAACGGCUCACCAAGGCGUCGACGGGUAGCCGGCCUGAGAGGAUGACCGGCCACACUGGGACUGAGACACGGCCCAGACUCCUACGGGAGGCAGCAGUGGGGAAUAUUGCACAAUGGGCGAAAGCCUGAUGCAGCAACGCCGCGUGAGGGACGACGGCCUUCGGGUUGUAAACCUCUUUUAGCAGGGAAGAAGCGAAAGUGACGGUACCUGCAGAAAAAGCGCCGGCUAACUACGUG